This 232-nucleotide long non-coding RNA is filed under the name Prunus persica (peach). RNAcentral describes it as "long non-coding RNA (PPER_LNC000408)". The record is from RNAcentral. Lineage: Eukaryota; Viridiplantae; Streptophyta; Magnoliopsida; Rosales; Rosaceae.
CUAUAUCGUGGCUUUACAUGAAUGAUACAAAAAAAACUUUUGAGUGCUUAACUACCAAGAAAUUAUAUAAAGCUCCUUUCUUAAAGAGAUUCAACAUGCAAAACCCAAUAUAAAUACACCUUUGGCGUUUCACCAAAUGUCCACACACAUACACUUUUACACAUAUGGAGCAACAUUAUUGUCUUCUAUUUGCCUCAUGGAUCAGAUUCAGAUCAAACCAAAUGGCUUUUCC